UACGCCUACGGGGCGCAGCAGUGAGGAAUAUUGGUCAAUGGGCGAGAGCCUGAACCAGCCAAGUCGCGUGAGGGAUGACUGCCCUAUGGGUUGUAAACCUCUUUUGUAUGGGGGGAAUAAGCUUUACGAGUAGAGUGAUGACAGCACCAUACGAAUAAGCAUCGGCUAACUCCGUGCCAGCAGCCGCGGUAAUACGGAGGAUGCGAGCGUUAUCCGUAUUUAUUGGGUUUAGAGGGUGCGUAGGCGCCAUUAUAAGUUAUUGGUAAAAUAUUGG
Molecule: ribosomal RNA, 274 nt
Filed under: uncultured bacterium
Lineage: Bacteria
Description: partial 16S ribosomal RNA
Rfam family: Bacterial small subunit ribosomal RNA
Source: RNAcentral